RNAcentral lists this ribosomal RNA (308 nucleotides) under uncultured bacterium. RNAcentral's name for it is "partial 16S ribosomal RNA". It matches the Rfam family "Bacterial small subunit ribosomal RNA", at positions 505 to 807 of the family's 1533-position model. The record is from RNAcentral.
GAGACAGCAGUCGCCGCGGGAAUACGGAGGGCGCGAGCGUUACCCGGAUUUACUGGGCGUAAAGGGCGUGUAGGCGGCCUGGGGCGUCCCAUGUGAAAGGCCACGGCUCAACCGUGGAGGAGCGUGGGAUACGCUCAGGCUAGAGGGUGGGAGAGGGUGGUGGAAUCCCCGGAGUAGCGGUGAAAUGCGCAGAUACCGGGAGGAACGCCGAUGGCGAAGGCAGCCACCUGGUCCACUUCUGACGCUGAGGCGCGAAAGCGUGGGGAGCAAACCGGAUUAGAUACCCGUGUAGUCCCUGUCUCUUAUAC